AGAGGACAUGGGAAGCUUGCUUCCUAUGAAAUCGAGUGGCAAACGGGUGAGUAACGCGUAAACAACCUGCCCUUCGGAUGGGGAUAACAGCCGGAAACGGCUGCUAAUACCGAAUACGAUCUUUUCGUCGCAUGACGGAAAGAAGAAAGGAUGGCCUCUAUACAAAGCUAUCGCCGAAGGAGGGGUUUGCGUCUGAUUAGCUGGUUGGAGGGGUAACGGCCCAACAAGGCGAUGAUCAGUAGCCGGUCUGAGAGGAUGAACGGCCACAUUGGGACUGAGACACGGCCCAGACUCCUACGGGAGGCAGCAGUGGGGAAUCUUCCGCAAUGGACGAAAGUCUGACGGAGCAACGCCGCGUGAGUGAAGAAGGUCUUCGGAUUGUAAAGCUCUGUUAUACGGGACGAAAAAGACGGAUGCCAACAGUAUCCGUCCGUGACGGUACCGUAAGAGAAAGCCACGGCUAACUACGUGCCAGCAGCCGCGGUAAUACGUAGGUGGCAAGCGUUGUCCGGAAUUAUUGGGCGUAAAGGGCGCGCAGGCGGUUCGGUAAGUCUGUCUUAAAAGUGCGGGGCUUAACCCCGUGAGGGGACGGAAACUGUCGAACUUGAGUGUCGGAGAGGAAAGCGGAAUUCCUAGUGUAGCGGUGAAAUGCGUAUAUAUUAGGAGGAACACCGGUGGCGAAAGCGGCUUUCUGGACGACAACUGACGCUGAGGCGCGAAAGCGUGAGGAGCAAACAGGAUUAUAUACCCUGGUAGUCCACGCCGUAAACGAUGGAUACUAGGUGUAGGAGGUAUCGACCCCUUCUGUGCC
RNAcentral lists this ribosomal RNA (811 nucleotides) under uncultured bacterium. RNAcentral's name for it is "bacterial SSU rRNA". It matches the Rfam family "Bacterial small subunit ribosomal RNA", at positions 65 to 847 of the family's 1533-position model. The record is from RNAcentral.